Molecule: ribosomal RNA, 571 nt
Filed under: Penicillium sp. P51
Lineage: Eukaryota; Fungi; Ascomycota; Eurotiomycetes; Eurotiales; Aspergillaceae
Also listed under: 2 other names
Description: eukaryotic LSU rRNA
Rfam family: Eukaryotic large subunit ribosomal RNA
Source: RNAcentral
AAACCAACAGGGAUUGCCUCAGUAACGGCGAGUGAAGCGGCAAGAGCUCAAAUUUGAAAGCUGGCCCCCUCGGGGUCCGCAUUGUAAUUUGCAGAGGAUGCUUCGGGAGUGGCCCCCAUCUAAGUGCCCUGGAACGGGCCGUCAUAGAGGGUGAGAAUCCCGUCUGGGAUGGGGUGCCCACGCCCGUGUGAAGCUCCUUCGACGAGUCGAGUUGUUUGGGAAUGCAGCUCUAAAUGGGUGGUAAAUUUCAUCUAAAGCUAAAUACUGGCCGGAGACCGAUAGCGCACAAGUAGAGUGAUCGAAAGAUGAAAAGCACUUUGAAAAGAGAGUUAAACAGCACGUGAAAUUGUUGAAAGGGAAGCGCUUGCGACCAGACUCGCCCACGGGGUUCAGCCGGCAUUCGUGCCGGUGUACUUCCCCGCGGGCGGGCCAGCGUCGGUUUGGGCGGCCGGUCAAAGGCCCUCGGAAUGUAACGCCCCCCGGGGCGUCUUAUAGCCGAGGGUGCCAUGCGGCCAGCCCGGACCGAGGAACGCGCUUCGGCUCGGACGCUGGCAUAAUGGUCGUAAGCGAC